UACGUAGGUGGCAAGCGUUGUCCGGAAUUAUUGGGCGUAAAGCGCGCGCAGGCGGUUCUUUAAGUCUGAUGUGAAAGCCCACGGCUCAACCGUGGAGGGUCAUUGGAAACUGGAGAACUUGAGUACAGAAGAGGAAAGCGGAAUUCCACGUGUAGCGGUGAAAUGCGUAGAGAUGUGGAGGAACACCAGUGGCGAAGGCGGCAUUCUGGACUGCAACUGACACUGAAAGACGAAAGCCAGGGGAGCAAACGGG
This 253-nucleotide ribosomal RNA is filed under the name uncultured bacterium. RNAcentral describes it as "partial 16S ribosomal RNA". It matches the Rfam family "Bacterial small subunit ribosomal RNA", at positions 524 to 776 of the family's 1533-position model. The record is from RNAcentral.